This 481-nucleotide ribosomal RNA is filed under the name uncultured bacterium. RNAcentral's name for it is "partial 16S ribosomal RNA". It matches the Rfam family "Bacterial small subunit ribosomal RNA", at positions 28 to 523 of the family's 1533-position model. The record is from RNAcentral.
GACGAAUGCUGGCUGCGUGCUUAACACAUGCAAGUCGAACGGUGAAGGGGAGCUUGCUCCCCGGAUCAGUGGCGAACGGGUGAGUAACACGUGGGCAACCUGCCCCUCACUCUGGGAUAACUCCGGGAAACCGGGGCUAAUACCGGAUACGACCGGGAGCGACAUCGCUCCUGGUGGAAAGAACUUCGGGGAAGGAUGGGCCCGCGGCCUAUCAGCGAGUUGGUGGGGUAACGGCCCACCAAGGUGAAGACGGGGAGCCGGCCUGAGAGGGCGACCGGCCACACUGGGACUGAGACACGGCCCAGACUCCUACGGGAGGCAGCAGUGGGGAAUAUUGCGCAAUGGGCGAAAGCCUGACGCAGCGACGCAGCGUGAGGGACGAAGGCCUUCGGGUUGUAAACCUCUUUCAGCGGGGACGAAGCGAAAGUGACGGUACCCGCAGAAGAAGCACCGGCUAACUACGUGCCAGCCGCCGCGGUAA